AAAGGAAUAGACGGGGGCCCGCACAAGCGGUGGAGCAUGUGGUUUAAUUCGAUGAUACGCGAGGAACCUUACCAGGGCUUGAACGCAUUUCGACAGGCUGGGAAACCAGUCCUCCUUCGGGCGAUUUGCGAGGUGCUGCAUGGUUGUCGUCAGCUCGUGCCGUGAGGUGUCAGGUUAAGUCCUAUAACGAGCGCAACCCCUAUUCUUAGUUGCCAGCGGAUAAUGCCGGGGACUCUAGGAAAACUGCCAGCGCAAGCUGUGAGGAAGGUGGGGAUGACGUCAAAUCAUCACGGCCCUUACGUCCUGGGCUACACACGUGCUACAAUGGCGAGUACAAUGGGCAGCUACCUGGUGACAGGAUGCUAAUCUCCAAAGCUCGCCUCAGUUCGGAUUGGAGUCUGCAACUCGACUCUAUGAAGCUGGAAUCGCUAGUAAUCGCGCAUCAGCCAUGGCGCGGUGAAUACGUUCCCGGGCCUUGUACACACCGCCCGU
RNAcentral lists this ribosomal RNA (492 nucleotides) under uncultured bacterium. RNAcentral describes it as "bacterial SSU rRNA". It matches the Rfam family "Bacterial small subunit ribosomal RNA", at positions 903 to 1397 of the family's 1533-position model. The record is from RNAcentral.